AAUACAUGAUGAGAAAAUGUUUCGGUCCCAGUUGAUGUAUGCUGAUAAGGAAACAUUUUUCUGAUGUU
Small nucleolar RNA from Cricetulus griseus (Chinese hamster), 68 nucleotides. Its record names the gene SNORD73. It matches the Rfam family "Small nucleolar RNA SNORD73". Rfam says of the family: U73 is a member of the C/D class of snoRNA which contain the C (UGAUGA) and D (CUGA) box motifs. U73 is encoded within the introns of ribosomal protein S3a and contains a 12nt region of complementarity to a conserved sequence in 28S ribosomal RNA. U73 is therefore thought to function as a 2'-O-ribose methylation guide for pre-rRNA. The record is from Ensembl. NCBI's taxonomy places the organism in Eukaryota, Metazoa, Chordata, Mammalia, Rodentia, Cricetidae.